RNAcentral lists this ribosomal RNA (400 nucleotides) under uncultured bacterium. Its description in RNAcentral is "bacterial SSU rRNA". It matches the Rfam family "Bacterial small subunit ribosomal RNA", at positions 355 to 769 of the family's 1533-position model. The record is from RNAcentral.
UCGAGAAUCUUCCGCAAUGGACGAAAGUCUGACGGAGCGAUACAGCGUGGUGGAUGAAGUGCUUCGGUACGUAAACACCUUUUAUGUGGGACGAAAUUAUUGACGGUACCACAUGAAUAAGGGGCUCCUAACUCUGUGCCAGCAGGAGCGGUAAUACAGAGGCCCCAAGCAUUAUCCGGAAUCAUUGGGCGUAAAGGGUGUCUAGGCGGUUAUAUUAGUCUUCCGUAAAAUCCAGGAGCUCAACUUCUGGCCCGCGGGAGAAACGGUAUGACUAGAGGUAGGGAGAGGUGCGUGGAACUCACGGUGUAGGGGUGAAAUCCGUUGAUAUCGUGGGGAACACCAAAGGCGAAGGCAGCGCACUGGCCCUAAUCUGACGCUCAAGCACGAAAGCCAGGGUAGC